RNAcentral lists this ribosomal RNA (497 nucleotides) under uncultured bacterium. RNAcentral describes it as "partial 16S ribosomal RNA". It matches the Rfam family "Bacterial small subunit ribosomal RNA", at positions 28 to 507 of the family's 1533-position model. The record is from RNAcentral.
GAUGAACGCUGGCGGCGUGCCUAAUACAUGCAAGUCGAGCGAACAGAUGAUGAGCUUGCUCCUCUGACGUUAGCGGCGGACGUGUGAGUAACACGUGGAUAACCCACCUAUAAGACUGGGAUAACUUCGGGAAACCGGAGCUAAUACCGUAUAAUAUAUUGAACCGCAUGGUUCAAUAGUGAAAGACGGUUUUGCUGUCACUUAUAGAUGGAUCCGCGCCGCAUUAGCUAGUUGGUAAGGUAACGGCUUACCAAGGCAACGAUGCGUAGCCGACCUGAGAGGGUGAUCGGCCACACUGGAACUGAGACACGGUCCAGACUCCUACGGGAGGCAGCAGUAGGGAAUCUUCCGCAAUGGGCGAAAGCCUGACGGAGCAACGCCGCGUGAGUGAUGAAGGUCUUCGGAUCGUAAAACUCUGUUAUUAGGGAACAACAAAUGUGUAAGUAACUAUGCACGUCUUGACGGUACCUAAUCAGAAAGCCACGGCUAACUACGUG